CCUACGGGGGGCAGCAGUGAGGAAUAUUGGUCAAUGGGCGAGAGCCUGAACCAGCCAAGUCGCGUGAGGGAAGACGGUCCUACGGAUUGUAAACCUUUUUUGUCAGGGAGCAAGGAGCGCCACGAGUGGCGCGGCGAGAGUACCUGAAGAAAAAGCAUCGGCUAACUCCGUGCCAGCAGCCGCGGUAAUACGGAGGAUGCGAGCGUUAUCCGGAUUUAUUGGGUUUAAAGGGUGCGCAGGCGGAAGCGGCAAGUCAGCGGUAAAAUUGUGGGGCUAAACCCCGCCGGGCCGUUGAAACUGCUGUGCUAGAGUGGGCGAGAAGUAGGCGGAAUGCGUGGUGUAGCGGUGAAAUGCAUAGAUAUCACGCAGAACACCGAUUGCGAAGGCAGCAUACCGGCGCCCAACUGACGCUCAUGCACGAAAGCGUGGGUAUCGAACAGGAUUAGAUACCCUAGUAGUC
RNAcentral lists this ribosomal RNA (460 nucleotides) under uncultured bacterium. RNAcentral describes it as "partial 16S ribosomal RNA". It matches the Rfam family "Bacterial small subunit ribosomal RNA", at positions 338 to 795 of the family's 1533-position model. The record is from RNAcentral.